Molecule: long non-coding RNA, 937 nt
Organism: Lolium perenne
Lineage: Eukaryota; Viridiplantae; Streptophyta; Magnoliopsida; Poales; Poaceae
Source: RefSeq, a predicted model, not a curated record
GUCAUUUGUAUCCUAUACAGAUUAAAAUAAAUUGUCUCCAAAAUCAAAAUACUACGGCAUCCCCAUGCGGCCAUGCCUCACCGCCGCCGUCCCCUAGCCUCGCUGCAUCUAAUCCCAGGCCACAAAGAUCGAUUCUUUUGACCUAGAUACACAAUUUGAUGGUGGCUUUGCCAGGCCCGGUGGCGGAGCUCGAUGGCCUAGUUGAAGGAUCUGGGGACCUCGCCGCCUCCUUCCAUGAGUGUUGCCUGCAAGGAAUCGAGGAAGGGUUCGGUUGGAGGCAGGUCUCGAUGCCUCCAUGGCCACGCCGCCGGUGCGUCCCCUCCCUCCUUGUUCCCUCUCCGCAGCCCCCGCUGUCCGGCCGCCGCCUGAUCUCGUCGACUCCAUCCUCUCCAAGGUUAUCCAACUCUCGGAACCUUCCUUCCCUGGUGUGCUAGAAGCUAUUCAUUCCGUGGUACAUUGUCUAGCAGCUCGUGGCAGUGUCUGGUAACGUGAGGUCAUUCUGUGGUGACAAUUGUCAUGUUCAGAAUUGUGAAGCUUUUGUCGAGUCCGUUGUCGUCUCCCUGGGGGCAUGGAAAUGUUCUGGCUGUUCAUAUCGCCUGUGGUCGCAUACGGGAAAGAGAAAGUCUGUGGACUAUAGUACCUGAGCUCUUGUUCUCUGUCUUCACAAAAGCUUGUGGCAGUCGAGAGUUACCUGCGAGUGGCGGGUAGUACCUAUGAAGUUACUAGGUGGUGUCUCCUUGUGAUGAGCAUAUGUUCUGAUAGUUUCUAGCAAUCAACCUCUGUGACUCUUUUGUCAUCUGUAAAAUUUGGUUAUCAUAACCUCUGGUUGUAUCAGACUGUAUAUAGUUGAAUUACAUUAUCAGCUAUCUCUGUAUUGUAACUUGAAGUUUGUUCCGAGAAAGUUUCAAUGCUACACCGAACACUUUGGUUGGUAUCA